Molecule: ribosomal RNA, 253 nt
Filed under: uncultured bacterium
Lineage: Bacteria
Description: partial 16S ribosomal RNA
Rfam family: Bacterial small subunit ribosomal RNA
Source: RNAcentral
UACGAGGGGGGCAAGCGUUGUUCGGAAUUAUUGGGCGUAAAGGGUGCGUAGGCGGCCUGCUAAGUCGGAUGUGAAAUCCCUCGGCUCAACCGAGGAACUGCAUCCGAUACUGGCGGGCUUGAAUCCGGGAGAGGGAUGUGGAAUUCCAGGUGUAGCGGUGAAAUGCGUAGAUAUCUGGAGGAACACCGGUGGCGAAGGCGGCAUCCUGGACCGGUAUUGACGCUGAGGCGCGAAAGCUAGGGGAGCAAACAGG